Molecule: ribosomal RNA, 239 nt
Filed under: uncultured bacterium
Lineage: Bacteria
Description: partial 16S ribosomal RNA
Rfam family: Bacterial small subunit ribosomal RNA
Source: RNAcentral
CCCGUAGCAAUACGAGAGCGGCAGACGGGAGAGUAACACGUGGGAACGCGCCCUUCGGUUCGGAAUAACUCAGGGAAACUUGAGCUAAUACCGGAUACGCCCUUACGGGGAAAGAUUUAUUGCCGAAGGAACGGCCCGCGUCCAAUUAGCUUGUUGGUGAGGUAAUGGCUCACCAAGGCGACGAUCGGUAGCUGGUCUGAGAGGAUGACCAGCCUCACUGGGACUGAGACACGGCCCAG